AUUUACCUAACUAAUUAAUAGGAUUUCUUAUUUUCAGAUUGUUUCAGAAGAUUAUAAUAUUUCAACAAUGGUUAUAGAUAGCAAACAUCUCAUUUGUAUUAUGAAACGAGUCAAGCAUUCAUAUUUUUGUAAAUGGGAUAGCUAUUUGCAAAAUUUCAGGAAGAAGAAAAAGGAAGUCUUUAGCACUUGAACCUAAUUUGCAUUUUUAGAUUAUCUACUGCUGCCUAUUUUAUUUGCAUAUUUAUUUUGCGUAGAUGAAGCUUUUAUGAAGAUUUUGUAAGUCUGAGAGAAGUUCAAGUAGAAGCAAAGUAGCCAGCUGGGAAAUCUCCAUUUUAAGCAUAAAAAGUAUCUAAAUCUGGAAUGAAAAUGUACCCAACAAAUGAAAUGUUCUAUGAGUGCUUCAGUCCAGAAGAAUACAAUAAUUUUCAGUUUUGGCGUGAACCCAUAAUGGAAAUCACCCUCGAAGAUUUUGAAUUACGUGAUGUGAUGGAUAAAGACGAAACUGUUUUAAGUCAAUAUGAUUCUUUUCUGUAUUGGCGAGAUCCUAUUCCUGAUUUAGAUGAACUGUAAAAACAAUUGAAUAUCUUGCUUUUACCAAGAUUAAUAUAAUUCAGUAUUUAUGUAUUUAAGUGAAAUACAUUAUGCAAAUUGCAGUUAAGCACAAUUAGUUUGAUUCUGAAAGCAUAAUAGCUGAAACAAUAUAAUAAUGCGCUUGAAUUUAUUAUAAUAUAUACAGAUAUUAACAUAAAUAUAAAAAGUAAUCAGAUACAAAGCAAAUUUUCAUGUGAAUGUUUUAGAAAAUUUAUGUAAAUAUAUAUUACAUGUUGUCAAAUAUCCCUUAUUACAAUACUUGUAGCCAAAAACAAUUGUAUAAGUAAUGCAUUAUCCUAGAACAUUUAAAAAUUUUCUCCCAUGUUCCAAAAUUAUUUGAGUAAUUUUUUCUUAUAUGACCAUUUGCUGUAAUUAAUUUUCUGAUCUUAGUAUUACUUGAUGUAAUUAAGAUAAUUUAUUUUCUUUGAUAUUUUUGAUAAAAUGUCAGUGAUAGACAUUUUCAUUAUCAUCAAAUGAUUUAAUUUUAGAGCUGAAAAAUUUAGAAAAUUUUCAUUGUCAUGACCUUAUAUCUAAACAGUGAUCAUAACUGACAUGACAGUGGUUAAAUAUUUUAUAAUAGUUAGCAUGAGAUUUAUAUGGCAUUCUUUUGAUUAUUUUCAUUAUUGUGUGUUUUAAGAAGUGUAAUUAUUUGAUUACCUUAUGUAUGUUUUACUGUAGUCAAUAAAAAAGUUUAUAAAUAUGUUGUGUUUUAUCUAUAAUUGUAUAUAUGGUAUAAAAUAGAGAAAUGCAAGGGGUUAAAAAAACACUUCAGCUCUAAAAUUAAAUAAAUUCAAUGUAGCAUUGAUUUUAUUUAAAAUAAUUUCCAAUAUGAGAAGAAAUUUUUCAUAAGCGCAAGCAUUUGUCAUAAUUUGUUGAUAAGUAGAACCUUUGCAUAAGAAUUAUAAACCUUUGGGUUAAUAAAAAAAGUAGCCUUUGAAAUUGCAAUUUUUCCCCUUGCCAUGUAUUGAAUAAGAGAUUAAAAACAGUGCAAAUAUUUUUCAAAUAAUUCAAUAAUAGUCAUCAAGAAGUAAGUUUCCCAUUAAGAAAUGGAAACAAGGUGGCUGGGAAAUGGACUCCUGUAGUAUGUAAAAGUCUGCAAUUCUGUAUUGUAAAUGAAUUGUACAUAAGGUGAAAUGAUAUGCAUAACAUUAAAUAUUAGAGGUUUUUUAGUAAAAAAAGAUGACAUUUUCAUUUAUAGCAAAGAGAUGCAGCAGAUUUAUAACAACUGUUAGAAAAAUUAAGAUAUUCUCCUGUAACAUAUUUGUCUUAUGUCUUCAUUAGGUCAUUUAAAGAACAAUGUAACUGGCAGGGCUGCUUAUUGAUAGAUCAAUGAUUCAUCGACCGAAAAAAAAAAGCAUCACAUUCAAUUAAAAGUACAAAAUUAACAUGUAUAAUUAGUACUUGUUUUAUUAUACUGAUGUCAUGUAUGCAUAAAAUUUUAAUAGUAACUGAAGAUCUUGCUGGGCAUAAAAAUGAUAGUGUAUUCUACUGUUAGAAAUGCUAUGUCUAAUGAUUUGUUAACUACUAUGAUAUAGUAAUCAUAUUUUUUUAUUUAUUAGAAUUUAAAAUGUAUGAAAUGAGUUCAACUAUUCAGCUGAGAAAUAUAUCAUGUGCAGACAUUAUAAGAGUAGAUAUAUUUAUAAAUCAUCUGAUGAAAUUUUUUAAAACUACUGUGGUUAAAAAACUGGUUCUGAGUACAAGUCUCACUUUUAAGAGGUUGUACACACAUGGUAGUGGACGAAUGGAGAAGUAUGGAAAAGACACUUUGCAAAUGUUUGAACAUGCAUCAGCACAUUUUGUAAGAAUAAGUAUUAUGAGAUUUAUGUGAGUAAAACUCCAGCAAAAAUGUAUAGCUAUAAAAUAGAGCAGCAGAUGAACUGUUUUACCAAACUGUUUCAAGUUUGGUAAAUCUGCGUAAUUCACAAUAUGCUGAAACAAAUUAAUGCAAAGGAAACUGUAUCUUAAAUAUACAUAUAGGAAUGGUUUAAACAUUUUUUAUUAUGGAUGAGAUUAUCUGAAGAUGUUGCUCAAAAAACAUUGAAAAGGUGAAGAUAUUAACUAUGAACCAUUGCCUUACAGUGCGAAUGAUAAAAGAACUUGAUGUAAAUCAUGAAAAUGUUCUGACAGAGAAUUUGACCAAGCAGAAGGUUUGCUGCUGUUUUAUAUUCUAAGAUUUAUCGGAUCACAUGCAGGCUCAUCUUGACAGUUGGAGAGACAAAACAUACUUUCUCAAAUAUACUUCCUUUUUCAACACUUAAGGCUAGGAAUAGCCCAGUCACAAUUCUCAAAGUGAGAUAAUGUUUCAGUCUCAGAAAUCAAGAAUAAAAGACAGUACUUAUUCAUAAAGAAAUUUCUUCCAGAACAGCAUUGAAUGCCAACACAUACAAGGAUGUUGAAGCAAAUUUAUUGCUAAGGACCCAUUGUAUACAUCCAAAAUAUGUUGUGAUGUUCUUUGUGCAUGAUAAUGAUCAGCCACAUUUGGCCCCCAUCAUAAAACAGUUUAUCUAUACAGGAGUUGUAGCUGUCGAUCAUGCACUACCAUUACUCACCUGAUCUUGCUCCAGCCCUAAAAAGAGAAUGAUUUUCGGAUACUGUAGACAUUCAAGUCUACAAUGAUGAGGGUUCUACAUGCAAUACCAAAGCAACUUUACCUGCAUUUUCCAGGAAUUGCUCAGUAAUUGUCAAUAUGUCAAAUAAUAUAAAAUGCCUUUCUUGAUUUAGGAAAACUUUUGUUUAUCAGUACUUCCACCAAACAUUUUAGUCAUACUUUCUCAAAAAAUCAUAUGGCUGGGAUUAAUUUUGAAACAGUACUUCAUUAUUUUUAAGAGAGGAGUAAAAUAAUAUAUGUGAGGAUGGAUCUAAAAAAAAAAAAAAAAAAAA
Stegodyphus dumicola is the source of this 3471-nucleotide long non-coding RNA. NCBI's taxonomy places the organism in Eukaryota, Metazoa, Arthropoda, Arachnida, Araneae, Eresidae. The record is from RefSeq and is a predicted model, not a curated record.